UAGGGAAUCUUCCGCAAUGGGCGAAAGCUUGACGGAGCAACGCCGCGUGAGUGAUGAAGGUCUUCGGAUCGUAAAACUCUGUUAUUAGGGAAGAACAAAUGUGUAAGUAACUAUGCACGUCUUGACGGUACCUAAUCAGAAAGCCACGGCUAACUACGUGCCAGCAGCCGCGGUAAUACGUAGGUGGCAAGUGUUAUCCGGAAUUAUUGGGCGUAAAGCGCGCGUAGGCGGUUUUUUAAGUCUGAUGUGAAAGCCCACGGCUCAACCGUGGAGGGUCAUUGGAAACUGGAAAACUUGAGUGCAGAAGAGGAAAGUGGAAUUCCAUGUGUAGCGGUGAAAUGCGCAGAGAUAUGGAGGAACACCAGUGGCGAAGGCGACUUUCUGGUCUGUAACUGACGCUGAUGUGCGAAAGCGUGGGGAUCAAACAGG
This 429-nucleotide ribosomal RNA is filed under the name Actinomycetes bacterium. Its description in RNAcentral is "Actinobacteria bacterium partial 16S ribosomal RNA". It matches the Rfam family "Bacterial small subunit ribosomal RNA", at positions 355 to 776 of the family's 1533-position model. The record is from RNAcentral. Lineage: Bacteria; Bacillati; Actinomycetota; Actinomycetes.